RNAcentral lists this ribosomal RNA (471 nucleotides) under uncultured bacterium. RNAcentral's name for it is "bacterial SSU rRNA". It matches the Rfam family "Bacterial small subunit ribosomal RNA", at positions 30 to 500 of the family's 1533-position model. The record is from RNAcentral.
AUUGAACGCUGGCGGCAUGCCUUACACAUGCAAGUCGAACGGCAGCACGGGAGCAAUCCUGGUGGCGAGUGGCGAACGGGUGAGUAAUAUAUCGGAACGUGCCCAGUCGUGGGGAUAACGUAGAGAAAUUUACGCUAAUACCGCAUACGAUCUAAGGAUGAAAGCGGGGGACCGUAAGGCCUCGCGCGAUUGGAGCGGCUGAUAUCAGAUUAGGUUGUUGGUGAGGUAAAAGCUCACCAAGCCGACGAUCUGUAGCUGGUUUGAGAGAACGACCAGCCACACUGGGACUGAGACACGGCCCAGACUCCUACGGGAGGCAGCAGUGAGGAAUAUUGGACAAUGGGCGCAAGCCUGAUCCAGCCAUGCCGCGUGCAGGAUGAACGGUCCUAUGGAUUGUAAACUGCUUUAUACAGGAGAAACACACCCUACGUGAGGUACGUUGACGGUACUGUAUGAAUAAGGACCGGCUAA